GAUGAACGCUAGCGGCAGGCUUAACACAUGCGAGUCGAGGGGUAUAGGUUUUCGGACCUAGAGACCGGCGCACGGGUGCGUAACGCGUAUGCAAUCUACCUUUCACAGAGGGAUAGCCCAGAGAAAUUUGGAUUAAUACCUCAUAGUAUUAUGAAGUGGCAUCAUUUUAUAAUUAAAGUUCCAACGGUGAAAGAUGAGCAUGCGUCCCAUUAGCUAGAUGGUAAGGUAACGGCUUACCAUGGCGACGAUGGGUAGGGGUCCUGAGAGGGAGAUCCCCCACACUGGUACUGAGACACGGACCAGACUCCUACGGGAGGCAGCAGUGAGGAAUAUUGGUCAAUGGACGCAAGUCUGAACCAGCCAUGCCGCGUGCAGGAUGACGGUCCUAUGGAUUGUAAACUGCUUUUGUACGAGAAGAAACACUCCUUCGUGAAGGAGCUUGACGGUAUCGUAAGAAUAAGGAUCGGCUAACUCCGUGCCAGCCGCCGCCGUAA
This 494-nucleotide ribosomal RNA is filed under the name uncultured bacterium. Its description in RNAcentral is "partial 16S ribosomal RNA". It matches the Rfam family "Bacterial small subunit ribosomal RNA", at positions 28 to 523 of the family's 1533-position model. The record is from RNAcentral.